UUUCCGUAGGUGAACCUGCGGAAGGAUCAUUAAAUGUAUAUAUAGCACUCCUUCUGGAUGUACUUAUACAAACCCACUCUGUGUACCUUACCUGUUGCUUCCGUGGUGCAGUGGAUUCUGUCCACCCCUGGGCCUUAAAAACCCGGGGAGUCGCCACGAGAAGGUCAAUGUAAACUCUUGUUUUUUUUGUUUUCUGUCUGAAUAUGUUUAAUUUAAAAAAUUAAAACUUUCAACAACGGAUCUCUUGGUUCUCGCAUGAUGAAGAACGCAGC
Molecule: unclassified non-coding RNA, 272 nt
Filed under: plant metagenome
Description: partial contains small subunit ribosomal RNA, internal transcribed spacer 1, and 5.8S ribosomal RNA
Source: RNAcentral